UUUCGCAAUGCCCGAAAGGGUGACGAAGCGACGCCGCGUGUGGGAAGAAGGCCUUCGGGUUGUAAACCGCUGUUGGGAGUUAGGAAGUGUGGGAGUGUUAAUAGCGCUUCCACUUGACUAAAGCUCCAGAGGAAGCCACGGCUAACUCUGUGCCAGCAGCCGCGGUAAUACAGAGGCGGCAAGCGUUGUUCGGAAUUAUUGGGCGUAAAGAGCACGUAGGCGGCUCUGCAAGUCAGCUGUGAAAGCCUUCUGCUUAACGGAAGAACAGCAGUUGAAACUACAGGGCUUGAGUGUGGGAGGGGAGAGUGGAACUUCUGGUGGAGCGGUGAAAUGCGUAGAUAUCAGAAGGAACGCCGGCGGCGAAAGCGGCUCUCUGGUCCGUAACUGACGCUGAGUGUGCGAAAGCUAGGGGAGCAAACGGGAUUAGAUACCCCGGUAGUCCUAGCCGUAAACGAUGGGCACUAAGUAGAGGGGUUUU
Molecule: ribosomal RNA, 478 nt
Filed under: uncultured Planctomycetales bacterium
Lineage: Bacteria; Pseudomonadati; Planctomycetota; Planctomycetia; Planctomycetales
Description: bacterial SSU rRNA
Rfam family: Bacterial small subunit ribosomal RNA
Source: RNAcentral